CCCCCAUCAAGCGUGCCUGCAGUAAAUGAACCUAUACAGUAUAGUCCUAGGCUCAAAGGGUUUAAUCUAAGGGUUCAUUUAUAUGUGUAGGUAAUAAUAUGUUUUCACAUGCAUGAGUGAGUCUUUCAAAAGAUGAUCAAAAUUGUAUACGAGCGUAAUUUGAAGUCUUUGAACAACUCCUGAGUGUUUGCAUGGUUUUACAAAUUGCUCAAUAAACC
This is a non-coding RNA of Paramuricea clavata, 218 nucleotides long. NCBI's taxonomy places the organism in Eukaryota, Metazoa, Cnidaria, Anthozoa, Malacalcyonacea, Plexauridae. The record is from the annotation of a GenBank genome assembly.